This 499-nucleotide ribosomal RNA is filed under the name uncultured bacterium. RNAcentral describes it as "partial 16S ribosomal RNA". It matches the Rfam family "Bacterial small subunit ribosomal RNA", at positions 28 to 507 of the family's 1533-position model. The record is from RNAcentral.
GACGAACGCUGGCGGCGUGCCUAAUACAUGCAAGUCGAGCGAAGUUUUUCUGGUGCUUGCACUAGAAAAACUUAGCGGCGAACGGGUGAGUAACACGUAAAGAACCUGCCUCAUAGACUGGGACAACUAUUGGAAACGAUAGCUAAUACCGGAUAACAGUAUUUCUCGCAUGAGAGAUAUUUAAAAGUUGGUUAUGCUAACACUAUGAGAUGGCUUUGCGAUGCAUUAGCUAGUUGGUGGGGUAAAGGCCCACCAAGGCGACGAUGCAUAGCCGACCUGAGAGGGUGAUCGGCCACACUGGGACUGAGACACGGCCCAGACUCCUACGGGAGGCAGCAGUAGGGAAUCUUCCGCAAUGGGCGAAAGCCUGACGGAGCAACGCCGCGUGAGUGAAGAAGGAUUUCGGUUCGUAAAGCUCUGUUGUUAGGGAAGAAUGGAUAUGUAGUAACUAUACAUGUAAGAGACGGUACCUAACCAGAAAGCCACGGCUAACUACGCG